Long non-coding RNA from Salvia splendens (bonfire salvia), 337 nucleotides. RefSeq lists it as uncharacterized. Lineage: Eukaryota; Viridiplantae; Streptophyta; Magnoliopsida; Lamiales; Lamiaceae. The transcript is spliced from 3 exons. The record is from RefSeq and is a predicted model, not a curated record.
AUAAAUGCAAAUUAAUUCAAAAAUAAGAAAAAAAAGAGGAAAAUUCGAAUUCAUUCCCUCAACACGUUGAAACCGUUCCUCUCUCUCCCACAAAUCUCUCCCAUAUCCCCAACCCCCUCUCCACUACAUUAAAUCAUAUAUCAGUUAUUCUUUUCUCCACCUAUCGUACCUGCAAGCAAGAAAGCAAGAACCAUUCUUCAACUUCUAUUCAAGAAACCACAUCCGGAGGAACCUCUUUGUUCACCCAACACUAUUAUCAUCCCAAUUCAACUUCAGGCAGAAGGUUGAGCGGCGACGAGGAUGUGGUGGUGUUGAGCAAAUGAAUAUAAUAUAUUAU